Molecule: non-coding RNA, 540 nt
Organism: Theobroma cacao (cacao)
Lineage: Eukaryota; Viridiplantae; Streptophyta; Magnoliopsida; Malvales; Malvaceae
Source: RefSeq, a predicted model, not a curated record
CGCGGACUGAAAAUAGGAGUAUUUCUACUCCUAGAAUUGAUGUAACUAUGAAGGCUUCCUCGAGUCUUGUAGGCUUGCCUACCAGGCUCGUGCAUGGUGGUCACGGACCACCGGAUUUGGGUCAUGACGCAGAUGAAAUGUUGUGCAAAAUUGACGUGAUGAAAGCUUAGAGAGCUUACGCUUUAGCAUCGAGAUAAAUAGACACAAAGGAUUGGUGACUAGCGUUGUCAUUUAGACAAACAUGCAAUUUUGAUAGCUGUAUGUUUUUCGCUAAUGAAUACUUUACUGCGUCACACUCUAAGUAAUAGUUUAUGUAUGCUUCCACUAUGUAUAUAAAGUAUGCGAUAUAAGAAAUAUGACGUCACGAGGUUGCCUUAUGUUCUGUAACGAGAUGUCUAAUGACUUAGUGAAUUAGCCAAUGUAUGGCAAUGUGUAUGUUGUGUUUAAGUACUGAACGUUAUUAGGAGUUGAGAGGCUAAUGUUGAAUGCUAAAAGAUUUAAGUUUAAUGAAAUGAUGAUGGCUAUGAAGCCUUAUGAUUA